UUUUUUUUUUUUUGGUUGGAGUAGUUAGUCAUUAGUACAGAAGUGUUUGGUCACGAGCAGGAAAGAAUGAAAAUGUAAAAUUCAGUGGGCUUCAUUUCCAUGGUUGUGGUGUGAAAUUUGUGGGGGAGAUUCCGGAGUGAGGUAUGCCCCAGGUACUCACCUGAAAAAGGGUUCCAGGUACAUGGUGUGUCCGCAGCAUCCCUGGCCCCAUCCUUUCUGUCCUGGAAUUCUGUGUUUGUGGAUAUAUUAGUCAGGACAGGCUAGUUUAGUUUAUGCUACAGCAACAAGUGGCUCCCAAAUCUUAGUGACUUAGAGACUGACAGAUCUUCUCCACCACAUCCUUUGCCGAUUGGCUGUUGCUCUGCUUCCAGUCAUCCUGCUGGAGCAGUCUCUCCCUGGAACACUUGGUCACUGUGGCAGAAGGAAAGGAAAAAUGGUGAACCACUUCCUGGCUCGAAAAGCUUCUGUGUGGAAGUGACACACAUCUCUUCUGUCUACAUUUCAGAAGGGAUGGGGCCAGGGAUGCUGAGGACACACCAUGUACCCUUUUUCAGCAAUAUAUUGGAACAUUUCCUCAUAGUGUUUUUUUUCUUCGGCAUAUAAUUAAGUAGCCGCUUCCCCAACCCCCAUACAUGUUGUCCUGUCUCUACAAAUAUGCUGUAAAGCUUUUGGCAGAGAAGGAUUAACUUUCGACCAUUUCUUCACUCCUCAAAGUGCCUGAGACUAAAUAUUGUUUCAAGUCUCAUCACUCUGAGCAUGCACGAAAGGGGAGAGAAUGUCCUUUGAAGUCAGACACAUCCAGCUUUGAAUCCUAGCUCCACCACUUACUGGAUUUAUGUGUUUCAGUUUCGUUUUUCUUUCUCAUUUGUAAAAUGUUGAUAAUUACACACAGUUUAAGGCAAGUUGUGAAGAUUAAUUAAAGAGGUGAAAUAUAACACUUGAUGCAGUGCAGACACUCUAAUAAAUGGCAUUUGCUGUUAUUUUUAUUAUCAUUAUACUUUUUAAAAGAGGGGUUUAAAGAACCAAAACUGAUACCAUAUUCAGAUGUGAUCUGAUCAUCCCUAAGUAGAGUGAGACUCUCAACCUAUGAUAAGGAUGAUACUAAUACUUAAAAGAGUGGCUUUUCAAAAAUGGACAAAUGGAGUCUAAUCAAACUAAAGAGCUUCAGCACCUUAAAAGAAACUAUCAACAGAGUAAACAGACAACCUCCACAAUGGGAGAAAAUAUUUGCAAACUACGCAUCUGACAAAGGCCUAAUAUCCAGCAUCUAUAAGGAAUUUAAAUCUACAAGAGAAAAAGAAACAAUCCCAUUAAAAAGUGGGCAAAGGACAUGAACAGACACUUUUCAAGAGAAGACAUACAUGUGGCCAACAAGCAUAUGAAAGAAAACCCAACACCACUGAUCUUUAGAGAAAUGCAAAUCAAAACCACAAUAAGAUAUCAUCUCUCACCAAUCAGAAUGGCUAUUAUCAAAAAAUCAAAAAAUAACAGGUGCUAUUGAGGUUGCAGAGAAAAAGUAAUGCUUAUAUAUCAUUGAUGCUCCAGAAUGUAAAUUAGUUCAACCAGUGUGGUGACUCCUCAAAGACUUAAAGACGGAAAUAUUAUCUGGCCCAGCAAUCCCAUUACUGGGCACAUACCCAAAGGAAUAUAAAUCAUUCUAUCAUAAAGACACAUGCAUACAUAUGUUCAUUGUAGCACUGUUCACAAUAGCAAAGACAUGGAAUUAACCUAAAUGCCCAUCAGUGGUAGUCUGGAUAAAGAAAAUAUGGUACAUAUAAACCAUGAAAUACUGUGCAGCCAUAAAAAAGAGUAUCAUGUCCUUUGCAGGAACAUGGAUGGAGCUGGAGGCCAUUAUCCUUAGUAAACUAAUGCAAGAACAGAAAAUCAAAUGCCCCAUAUUCUCACUUAUAGGUGGGAGCUAAAUAAUAAGAACACAUAGACACAUAGAGGGGAGCAACAGACACAGGGUCCUACCAGAGGGUGGAGGGUGGCAGGAGAGAGAGGAUCAGGAAGGAUAACUAAUGGGUUAGGCUUAAUAUGUGGGUGAUGAAAUAAUCUGUACAGCAAACCCCCAUGACAUGAAUUUACCUAUAUACAAACCUGCGUGUGUACCCCUGACCUUAAAAAUAAAAUG
Molecule: long non-coding RNA, 2134 nt
Filed under: Homo sapiens (human)
Lineage: Eukaryota; Metazoa; Chordata; Mammalia; Primates; Hominidae
Description: HSALNT0192625
Source: RNAcentral